RNAcentral lists this ribosomal RNA (400 nucleotides) under uncultured bacterium. RNAcentral's name for it is "bacterial SSU rRNA". It matches the Rfam family "Bacterial small subunit ribosomal RNA", at positions 362 to 758 of the family's 1533-position model. The record is from RNAcentral.
UAUUGGAUGGGGGGGAGCCUGAGCAGCCCGCCGUGUGGGUGGGGAAGGCCUUCGGGUCGUAAAGCCCUGUCGCCUGGGAAGAAACUACGAGUGGGGAAAGUUCAUUCGUAUUGACGGUACCAGGAGAGGAAGCACCGGCUAACUCUGUGCCAGCAGCCGCGGUAAUACAGAGGGUGCAAGCGUUGUUCGGAAUUACUGGGCGUAAAGCGUUUGUAGGCGGUUCUGAGAGUCCUAGGUGAAAUCCCCAAGCUUAACUUGGGAGCUGCCUGGGAGACCUCAGCACUAGAGUACUGAAGGGGUUACUGGAAUUCCAUGUGUAGCGGUGAAAUGCGUAGAUAUAUGGAGGAACACCUGUGGCGAAGGCGGGUAACUGGUCAGAGACUGACGCUGAGAAACGAAA